GACGAACGCUGGCGGCGUGCCUAACACAUGCAAGUCGAGCGGGGCCUAUCUGGUGGCAACAUCGGGGACGGUUCAGCGGCGAACGGGUGAGUAACACGUGAGGAACCUGCCCCGAAGACUGGGAUAACUCUCCGAAAGGAGUGCUAAUACCGGAUGUCCCCUUGCGGCCGCAUGGUUGUGGGAGGAAAUGCUUUUGUGCUUCGGGAGGGUCUCGCGGCCUAUCAGCUUGUUGGUGAGGUAAUGGCUUACCAAGGCUU
This 257-nucleotide ribosomal RNA is filed under the name uncultured Actinomycetes bacterium. RNAcentral's name for it is "uncultured actinobacterium partial 16S ribosomal RNA". It matches the Rfam family "Bacterial small subunit ribosomal RNA", at positions 28 to 276 of the family's 1533-position model. Lineage: Bacteria; Bacillati; Actinomycetota; Actinomycetes. The record is from RNAcentral.